CGGGCUUGAACUGCCAGCGAACGAUUCAGAGAUGAUGAGGUCCUUCGGGACGCUGGUGGAGGUGCUGCAUGGUUGUCGUCAGCUCGUGCCGUGAGGUGUCGGCUUAAGUGCCAUAACGAGCGCAACCCUUUUCGCUAGUUGCCAUCAGGUGAUGCUGGGCACUCUAGUGACACUGCCACCGUAAGGUGUGAGGAAGGUGGGGAUGACGUCAAAUCAGCACGGCCCUUACGUCCGGGGCUACACACGUGUUACAAUGGCGUGUACAGAGAGUUGGUGCAUGGCGACAUGCACCGGAUCAUGAAAGCACGUCCCAGUUCGGAUCGGAGUCUGCAACCCGACUCCGUGAAGCUGGAUUCGCUAGUAAUCGCGCAUCAGCCAUGGCGCGGUGAAUACGUUCCCGGGCC
Molecule: ribosomal RNA, 404 nt
Filed under: uncultured bacterium
Lineage: Bacteria
Description: bacterial SSU rRNA
Rfam family: Bacterial small subunit ribosomal RNA
Source: RNAcentral